Molecule: long non-coding RNA, 1829 nt
Organism: Cyprinus carpio (common carp)
Lineage: Eukaryota; Metazoa; Chordata; Actinopteri; Cypriniformes; Cyprinidae
Source: Ensembl
AUGAGAUUUGUAAAUUAUUCCAUUCCUUUUUUACUCACAAUUUGUACAGUGUCCCAACUUUUUUGGAAUCGGGUUUGUAUGUUGUUGUGGAUAAUGGAGGAAUCUCUUGCAGUUUUACAGCUUAAAGAGCAUGUACUAUAUAAUGUUGAAGGUGAUAAUCAGACUUCUCUCCAUCAUUUGCACAGAAUGCUGCUGUUUUAUACGAGUGUGUCUGAAGAGCGACCCAGAGCAGAGGUUUCAUCUGGAGGAGAUGCUCUUUCAUUACUGGUUCAAGGUCCCCCUGUAGGUCAUGGAGAAGAGGGUCAGCUUUUCGUCUGAUGGGGUGACAAGGGUGGCCCCUCCAUCCCUCCACCCUAAGUGUCUUGCGGGGGUGGCAGGUCACACUGGCUUGAGGUGGUAGUUUUAGCGUCUUGCAGAACUACUUGCCUAAGGAUGUGUACAUAUUGUAAAUAGUUUAGUUUUGGGUUAGUUAAGCUAGCUGCUCCAUCCCUCCAGCCUUAGCAUUUUGCAGGGCUGGCAGGUCUUUGUUGCGUCUGGCAGUUUGGCUUGAGGUGGUAGUUUUAGCGUCUUGCGGAAUUACUUGCCUAGGGAUAUGUAAUGUAAAUAGUUAGUUUAGUUUUUGUUAAGUUAGAUUAAUUGGGUAUUGCUUCCUUCUAAUCAUAUUUUUAAUAAUGGAGUCCCUGUCAAGGUCCCUACAAGCCCCUUUCACUGCCGCCCCAGAGGUUCCUGCCACUGGCAUCCGAUCCCAGAAAUCUGUGUCACGAAUGCAUGAGAGGUUUCAGACAUGGCCACAGCUCCCUUUCCCAGCUGCCUUGGGUUCAGAGAUCUUGUCAGGGCUACUCCAGAAAUCCCAGUUAAGGCUGCCAUUAAGUUUCCUGUCACUGCUGCUUCAGAACCUGCUGAGGCUCCAGAGAGGGUCCUGACUUGAAAGUCCCAGGAUGCCCAUUUCACAGCUCUGCUGGUCCCAGAGGUCCCUCACACUGCCACUCCAAAGUUUCCUCCCACAGGCAAACGGGAUCAAACACGGGAUGCUUGGAAAGCUGCUCAGAAAAAGUGCCAUUAAGGUGCUUUUCCACUGCAUGGUACGACUCGGCAAAUCUCAGUACGGUACGCCUCGGCUUGCAUUUCCACUGUAGUGUAGUAUCGCUUUAGAGUGGGCAGGAUCAUUCACAUCAUUCUCGCUGGAUCUGCUCCUCUGCUAUCAACGAGAGUAACGUCUGUACUUCCGCAAAAGACAACAAUAUUUUUUGGUUGUUAAAAAAGGUGCGCUUGCUCAAAACAGUUGCGUUUGAUCCUUCGCUGGCUGUGCUGAUUUAAAUCUAGCGGUUCUUUUGUGUUUGUGUCACAAGUUCAGUGAUGCAGAUAGUGACGAUUCUCUCCGGCCAAUCAGUGUUCAGCAGAGUUUAGACGUCACAUUUUGGUAACGGUACGGUUUACUUGGAACCUCAACCAAAGUGGUACUAAAAAGUAACAGGUACUGUACCCAGUGGAACCCCCCCCCCCCCCACCCAAAAGUGAACCGUACCAAGUUGUACAACGCCGUACCAUGCAGUGGAAAAGUGCCAAUUGAGAGUUAUGGACAAAGAGUUGAUUACUUUUUUAGUUGAUUACAUUGAUUACUUACUUAUUAAUGUCUGAAGUAAAAGAUGUUGACAAUUUCUGAAUUAGUUCUUGACAAGGAAAGUGCGUAAUUUUAUCGUUUUUGGGUGCCAAAGAAACAUAGGUGGUCUAUUUUAAAUGAAGCAUGUCUUUUGGCCAAACGUAAGUAUUGCAUAUUUUAGUAUAGUUUCACAUUUAAUAAAAGAGUCAGAUUACCUUGUAAAUUCCCA